Long non-coding RNA from Oreochromis aureus, 271 nucleotides. The record is from Ensembl. Lineage: Eukaryota; Metazoa; Chordata; Actinopteri; Cichliformes; Cichlidae.
GCACGCUCCUGGGAGUGUCCCCGUGCUGAAGCCUUCGCACCUGCUGCUAAUCAUCCGCCAUCUUAGCUGGACUAUUUAACAGAGCGAUCGACCUUCAGUCAGCGCUGGAGUAUUAGCAAAGCUCAGGACCGCGAGCAGAGGAGAGGAAUUUCGAGGGCUAAUCUCCACCUGGGACGAAGGUUACUGGAGAAAACGGGGUGUUUAUUCUCUACUCGGGCACGGACGAAAAGAAGAGGAGAAAACCACCCACUCACCUUUCAUUGUACCUGGA